This 292-nucleotide ribosomal RNA is filed under the name uncultured bacterium. Its description in RNAcentral is "partial 16S ribosomal RNA". It matches the Rfam family "Bacterial small subunit ribosomal RNA", at positions 505 to 796 of the family's 1533-position model. The record is from RNAcentral.
GUGUCAGCAGCCGCGGUAAGACGAACCGUGCGAACGUUGUUCGGAAUCACUGGGCUUAAAGGGCGCGUAGGCGGGCCGCCCAGUCAGGGGUGAAAUCCUCCGGCUCAACCGGAGAAGUGCCUUUGAUACUGGCGGCCUAGAGGGAGGUAGGGGCCUGCGGAACUUCCGGUGGAGCGGUGAAAUGCGUAGAUAUCGGAAGGAACGCCGGUGGCGAAAGCGAUCUGCUGGACCUCUUCUGACGCUGAUGCGCGAAAGCCAGGGGAGCAAACGGGAUUAGAUACCCCCGUAGUCC